CGGGGUGAGUAAUGUCUGGGAAACUGCCCGAUGGAGGGGGAUAACUACUGGAAACGGUAGCUAAUACCGCAUAACGUCGCAAGACCAAAGAGGGGGACCUUAGGGCCUCUUGCCAUCGGAUGUGCCCAGAUGGGAUUAGCUAGUAGGUGGGGUAAUGGCUCACCUAGGCGACGAUCCCUAGCUGGUCUGAGAGGAUGAUCAGCCACACUGGGACUGAGACACGGUCCAG
RNAcentral lists this ribosomal RNA (229 nucleotides) under uncultured bacterium. RNAcentral describes it as "partial 16S ribosomal RNA". It matches the Rfam family "Bacterial small subunit ribosomal RNA", at positions 104 to 334 of the family's 1533-position model. The record is from RNAcentral.